GGCUCAGGACGAACGCUGGCGGCGUGCCUAAUACAUGCAAGUCGAACGAACUCUGGUAUUGAUUGGUGCUUGCAUCAUGAUUUACAUUUGAGUGAGUGGCGAACUGGUGAGUAACACGUGGGAAACCUGCCCAGAAGCGGGGGAUAACACCUGGAAACAGAUGCUAAUACCGCAUAACAACUUGGACCGCAUGGUCCGAGCUUGAAAGAUGGCUUCGGCUAUCACUUUUGGAUGGUCCCGCGGCGUAUUAGCUAGAUGGUGGGGUAACGGCUCACCAUGGCAAUGAUACGUAGCCGACCUGAGAGGGUAAUCGGCCACAUUGGGACUGAGACACGGCCCAAACUCCUACGGGAGGCAGCAGUAGGGAAUCUUCCACAAUGGACGAAAGUCUGAUGGAGCAACGCCGCGUGAGUGAAGAAGGGUUUCGGCUCGUAAAACUCUGUUGUUAAAGAAGAACAUAUCUGAGAGUAACUGUUCAGGUAUUGACGGUAUUUAACCAGAAAGCCGCGGCUAACUACGUGCCAGCAGCCGCGGUAAUACGUAGGUGGCAAGCGUUGUCCGGAUUUAUUGGGCGUAAAGCGAGCGCAGGCGGUUUUUUAAGUCUGAUGUGAAAGCCUUCGGCUCAACCGAAGAAGUGCAUCGGAAACUGGGAAACUUGAGUGCAGAAGAGGACAGUGGAACUCCAUGUGUAGCGGUGAAAUGCGUAGAUAUAUGGAAGAACACCAGUGGCGAAGGCGGCUGUCUGGUCUGUAACUGACGCUGAGGCUCGAAAGUAUGGGUAGCAAACAGGAUUAGAUACCCUGGUAGUCCAUACCGUAAACGAUGAAUGCUAAGUGUUGGAGGGUUUCCGCCCUUCAGUGCUGCAGCUAACGCAUUAAGCAUUCCGCCUGGGGAGUACGGGCCGCAAGGCUGAAACUCAAAGGAAUUGACGGGGGCCCGCACAAGCGGUGGAGCAUGUGGUUUAAUUCGAAGCUACGCGAAGAACCUUACCAGGUCUUGACAUACUAUGCAAAUCUAAGAGAUUAGACGUUCCCUUCGGGGACAUGGAUACAGGUGGUGCAUGGUUGUCGUCAGCUCGUGUCGUGAGAUGUUGGGUUAAGUCCCGCAACGAGCGCAACCCUUAUUAUCAGUUGCCAGCAUUAAGUUGGGCACUCUGGUGAGACUGCCGGUGACAAACCGGAGGAAGGUGGGGAUGACGUCAAAUCAUCAUGCCCCUUAUGACCUGGGCUACACACGUGCUACAAUGGAUGGUACAACGAGUUGCGAACUCGCGAGAGUAAGCUAAUCUCUUAAAGCCAUUCUCAGUUCGGAUUGUAGGCUGCAACUCGCCUACAUGAAGUCGGAAUCGCUAGUAAUCGCGGAUCAGCAUGCCGCGGUGAAUACGUUCCCGGGCCUUGUACACACCGCCCGUCACACCAUGAGAGUUUGUAACACCCAAAGUCGGUGGGGUAACCUUUUAGGAACCAGCCGCCUAAGGUGGGACAGAUGAUUAGGGUG
Molecule: ribosomal RNA, 1497 nt
Filed under: Lactiplantibacillus plantarum
Lineage: Bacteria; Bacillati; Bacillota; Bacilli; Lactobacillales; Lactobacillaceae
Description: partial 16S ribosomal RNA
Rfam family: Bacterial small subunit ribosomal RNA
Source: RNAcentral